Ipomoea triloba (trilobed morning glory) is the source of this 107-nucleotide small nucleolar RNA. The record is from RefSeq and is a predicted model, not a curated record. Lineage: Eukaryota; Viridiplantae; Streptophyta; Magnoliopsida; Solanales; Convolvulaceae.
AAGACAUCCGGUGGACAUUGACGUUUGAAUGCCUUGAAACGCCUCCAUGCUUCCCCUAGUGUUUCCAUUGAACCUUGCUUAAAGUUUUGAAUUUGUUUCCGGAUUUU